Molecule: ribosomal RNA, 481 nt
Filed under: uncultured bacterium
Lineage: Bacteria
Description: partial 16S ribosomal RNA
Rfam family: Bacterial small subunit ribosomal RNA
Source: RNAcentral
GACGAACGUUGGCGGCGUGCUUAAUACAUGCAAGUCAACUGAAGCAGUGGUAGCAAUAUCGCUGUGGAGGUGGCGCACGGGUGAGUAACACGUAGGUAAUCUGCCUUCAGGUCUGGCAUAACUCCGGGAAACCGGGGCUAAUAGCAGAUGAUGCAGCGGCUCGACAUCGAGACAGUUGUUAAAGCUAUGGCGCCUGAAGAUGAGCCUGCGUCUGAUUAGCUAGUUGGCGGGGUAACGGCCCACCAAGGCAACGAUCAGUCGCUGGUCUGAGAGGAUGAUCAGCCACACUGGAACUGAGACACGGUCCAGACUCCUACGGGAGGCAGCAGUAAGGAAUAUUGCUCAAUGGGAGAAAUCCUGAAGCAGCAACGCCGCGUGAGGGACGAAGGGCUUUUGCUUGUAAACCUCUGUAGUGAGAGAAAAAAAUCCCAAUCUUUGGGACAUGAUGGUAUCUCAAAAGUAAGCCCCGGCUAACUACGUG